UCUAAGACGGUACUUUCAAGAUCCUUGCAGAUCCCUUUGCUCAGCUUUGGUCCAUCCAUGCCUUUAUCCACAAAGGUGACAGCUACAAACAGAUUCCACUAGUUUUCUGCCUUAUAUCCAGACGUAAAGGGAGAGAUUAUGUUGCUGUUUUUCAGAGGCUGAAAGAGGUCCUUCUAAGACCAGCAGAAGUUCAGUGUUUUGUUGCCGAUUUUGAGCAAGGUGCAUGGAAAGCCAUACGUAAGGAAUUUCCUACUUCCACCAUCAAAGGUUGUGCCUUCCAUUUUGGCCAGGCAGUUUGGCGUAAGACGCAAGAGUUGGGCCUCAAGACCACAUACACCAGCAGGGGUGCAGAGUACAGAUACAUCCGUUCGCUGAUGGCACUUCCCUUCUUACCAGCUGAAGACAU
Long non-coding RNA from Mytilus californianus (California mussel), 406 nucleotides. RefSeq lists it as uncharacterized. The transcript is spliced from 3 exons. NCBI's taxonomy places the organism in Eukaryota, Metazoa, Mollusca, Bivalvia, Mytilida, Mytilidae. The record is from RefSeq and is a predicted model, not a curated record.